RNAcentral lists this ribosomal RNA (369 nucleotides) under Triticum aestivum (bread wheat). Its description in RNAcentral is "partial small subunit ribosomal RNA". The record is from RNAcentral. Lineage: Eukaryota; Viridiplantae; Streptophyta; Magnoliopsida; Poales; Poaceae.
AUGCCCGGCGGAGGUGUUCGAAGCUUCCUGCACCACCAGUCUGCUUCAUCUCCUCCUUUCCUUCGCAUGCCCGACCUCCUCGCUAUACGCCGCCCGGGAGGGCUCGUGCUCGCUGCUCGACCAGAGCCACCGCCAGCCGGUCGUCGCUGCACUUGCCCGCGACCACUGCGCCCCCUCUACACUGCCCUCCACCUCAACUUCAGAAGCACACGUGUUUGUGGAUGUUCUCAGUUAUUUUUUGCACACAAGGUGUUUGUGUGUUUGUCCGAGCCAGUUUCAGUCACAGAUCCUUUAACUCUCCUUCCAUAUGAUUCAAAAAAUAGUAUGAUGGUGGGAGUUAAUUGGGUUACUAAAAUAAUGGGUUGCUAA